Molecule: regulatory RNA element, 47 nt
Organism: Camelus ferus (Wild Bactrian camel)
Lineage: Eukaryota; Metazoa; Chordata; Mammalia; Artiodactyla; Camelidae
Rfam family: Histone 3' UTR stem-loop
About the family: The mRNAs of metazoan histone genes lack a poly-A tail. 3' end processing occurs at a site between a highly conserved stem-loop (modelled by this family) and a purine rich region around 20 nts downstream (the histone downstream element, or HDE).
Source: Rfam
CCAAAGGCCCUUCUUAGGGCCACCUCUCCGUUCACUUGAAAGGGUUU